RNAcentral lists this ribosomal RNA (714 nucleotides) under uncultured bacterium. RNAcentral describes it as "bacterial SSU rRNA". It matches the Rfam family "Bacterial small subunit ribosomal RNA", at positions 65 to 774 of the family's 1533-position model. The record is from RNAcentral.
AGCGGGAAGUAGUUUACUACUUUGCCGGCGAGCGGCGGACGGGUGAGUAAUGUCUGGGAAACUGCCUGAUGGAGGGGGAUAACUACUGGAAACGGUAGCUAAUACCGCAUAACGUCUUCGGACCAAAGUGGGGGACCUUCGGGCCUCACGCCAUCGGAUGUGCCCAGAUGGGAUUAGCUAGUAGGUGGGGUAAUGGCUCACCUAGGCGACGAUCCCUAGCUGGUCUGAGAGGAUGACCAGCCACACUGGAACUGAGACACGGUCCAGACUCCUACGGGAGGCAGCAGUGGGGAAUAUUGCACAAUGGGCGCAAGCCUGAUGCAGCCAUGCCGCGUGUGUGAAGAAGGCCUUCGGGUUGUAAAGCACUUUCAGCGAGGAGGAAGGCCAAUAACUUAAUACGUUGUUGGAUUGACGUUACUCGCAGAAGAAGCACCGGCUAACUCCGUGCCAGCAGCCGCGGUAAUACGGAGGGUGCAAGCGUUAAUCGGAAUUACUGGGCGUAAAGCGCACGCAGGCGGUUUGUUAAGUCAGAUGUGAAAUCCCCGCGCUUAACGUGGGAACUGCAUUUGAAACUGGCAAGCUGGAGUCUUGUAGAGGGGGGUAGAAUUCCAGGUGUAGCGGUGAAAUGCGUAGAGAUCUGGAGGAAUACCGGUGGCGAAGGCGGCCCCCUGGACAAAGACUGACGCUCAGGUGCGAAAGCGUGGGGAGCAAACA